CAGUUAUCCGUGGACAGUGGAUAGUCGUCCAAUUAACUGCAACAGGUGAACCAAUUGGUAAGGAGGCAAGAAACAUGUAGUCCUUCAUUGGAGUAUUGGCACGUAUAAGGAUCCCAAUCUCAAUCCCUGAUUAGAGAGACGUAGAUGAGGAUGAAAAGCAGAAGUUUUGGGAAUCUGUACAGGUAAUUGACUAGUUGUAUUUAUAUAUGUUUGCUAACUUCAAAUGAGUAGUUUAAUUUUGUAAGUGUGUUACUUACAACAAAUGUCGUGUUUGUGUAGGAAGCAUUUGUUGUGCCUAAAAAGUUUAGGAAGAGUGUAAUUGCAUCUACAGCAACUAAAUGGAGAGAUUUCAAAAGUAGGUUGACGACAAAGUACAUCAUGCGUUACAUAAAUGACCUGGAUCUCCUAGAAUUUCCUCCAGACGAUUACCGA
RNAcentral lists this long non-coding RNA (432 nucleotides) under Fragaria vesca (wild strawberry). Its description in RNAcentral is "long non-coding RNA (FVES_LNC000500)". The record is from RNAcentral. Lineage: Eukaryota; Viridiplantae; Streptophyta; Magnoliopsida; Rosales; Rosaceae.